This 443-nucleotide ribosomal RNA is filed under the name uncultured bacterium. Its description in RNAcentral is "partial 16S ribosomal RNA". It matches the Rfam family "Bacterial small subunit ribosomal RNA", at positions 338 to 795 of the family's 1533-position model. The record is from RNAcentral.
CCUACGGGUGGCAGCAGUGGGGAAUAUUGGGCAAUGGGCGCAAGCCUGACCCAGCAACGCCGCGUGAAGGAAGAAGGCUUUCGGAUUGUAAACUUCUUUUCUCAGGGACGAAGAAAGUGACGGUACCUUAUGAAUAAGCCUCGGCUAACUACGUGCCAGCAGCCGCGGUAAUACGUAGGUGGCAAGCGUUAUCCGGAAUUACUGGGGGUAAAGGGCGUGUAGGCGGGAGUGCAAGUCAGUAGUGAAACCCAUGGGCUCAACCCAUAGACUGCAUCUAAAACUGUACUUCUUGAGUGCUGGAGAGGCAAUCGGAAUUCCGUGUGUAGCGGUGAAAUGCGUAGAUAUACGGAGGAACACCAGUGGCGAAGGCGGAUUGCUGGACAGUAACUGACGCUGAGGCGCGAAAGCGUGGGGAGCAAACAGGAUUAGAUACCCUUGUAGUC